UCUCGGUUCUCAUUGUGCUGGGCAUUGUAGUACGUGUGCAGCCCAAGGCGUAAGGGCCAUACUGACCUGACGUCGUCCCCACCUUCCUCCCAGUUGAUCUGGGCAGUCUGACUAGAGUUCCCGGCUUAACCUGCUGGCACUUAACCCCAGGGGUUGGGCUGGUGGCGGAAUUAACCCCACAUCCCCCCGACACAAGUGA
RNAcentral lists this ribosomal RNA (199 nucleotides) under uncultured bacterium. RNAcentral's name for it is "partial 16S ribosomal RNA". The record is from RNAcentral.